This 513-nucleotide ribosomal RNA is filed under the name Sulfitobacter sp. RNAcentral's name for it is "bacterial SSU rRNA". It matches the Rfam family "Bacterial small subunit ribosomal RNA", at positions 375 to 907 of the family's 1533-position model. Lineage: Bacteria; Pseudomonadati; Pseudomonadota; Alphaproteobacteria; Rhodobacterales; Roseobacteraceae. The record is from RNAcentral.
GCGCAGCCUGAUCUAGCCAUGCCGCGUGUGUGAUGAAGGUCUUAGGAUCGUAAAGCACUUUCGCCAGGGAUGAUAAUGACAGUACCUGGUAAAGAAACCCCGGCUAACUCCGUGCCAGCAGCCGCGGUAAUACGGAGGGGGUUAGCGUUGUUCGGAAUUACUGGGCGUAAAGCGUACGUAGGCGGAUUGGAAAGUUGGGGGUGAAAUCCCAGGGCUCAACCCUGGAACUGCCUCCAAAACUAUCAGUCUAGAGUUCGAGAGAGGUGAGUGGAAUUCCAAGUGUAGAGGUGAAAUUCGUAGAUAUUUGGAGGAACACCAGUGGCGAAGGCGGCUCACUGGCUCGAUACUGACGCUGAGGUACGAAAGUGUGGGGAGCAAACAGGAUUAGAUACCCUGGUAGUCCACACCGUAAACGAUGAAUGCCAGUCGUCGGGCAGUAUACUGUUCGGUGACACACCUAACGGAUUAAGCAUUCCGCCUGGGGAGUACGGUCGCAAGAUUAAAACUCAAAUG